RNAcentral lists this ribosomal RNA (449 nucleotides) under uncultured bacterium. RNAcentral's name for it is "partial 16S ribosomal RNA". It matches the Rfam family "Bacterial small subunit ribosomal RNA", at positions 29 to 523 of the family's 1533-position model. The record is from RNAcentral.
AACGAACGCUGGCGGCAGGCCUAACACAUGCAAGUCGAACGCCCUGGCAACAGGGAGUGGCAGACGGGUGAGUAACGCGUGGGAACGUGCCCUUCGGUUCGGAAUAACUCAGGGAAACUUGAGCUAAUACCGGAUACGUGCGAGAGCAGAAAGAUUUAUCGCCGAAGGGUCGGCCCGCGUCCGAUUAGCUAGUUGGUGAGGUAACGGCUCACCAAGGCGACGAUCGGUAGCUGGUCUGAGAGGAUGAUCAGCCACACUGGGACUGAGACACGGCCCAGACUCCUACGGGAGGCAGCAGUGGGGAAUAUUGGACAAUGGGCGCAAGCCUGAUCCAGCCAUGCCGCGUGAGUGAUGAAGGCCCUAGGGUUGUAAAGCUCUUUCACCAGGGACGAUAAUGACGGUACCUGGAUAAGAAGCCCCGGCUAACUUCGUGCCAGCCGCCGCGGUAA